RNAcentral lists this transfer RNA (72 nucleotides) under Perkinsus marinus ATCC 50983. It matches the Rfam family "tRNA". From Rfam's summary of the family: Transfer RNA (tRNA) molecules are approximately 80 nucleotides in length. Their secondary structure includes four short double-helical elements and three loops (D, anti-codon, and T loops). Further hydrogen bonds mediate the characteristic L-shaped molecular structure. tRNAs have two regions of fundamental functional importance: the anti-codon, which is responsible for specific mRNA codon recognition, and the 3' end, to which the tRNAs corresponding amino acid is attached (by aminoacyl-tRNA synthetases). tRNAs cope with the degeneracy of the genetic code in two manners: having more than one tRNA (with a specific anti-codon) for a particular amino acid; and 'wobble' base-pairing, i.e. permitting non-standard base-pairing at the 3rd anti-codon position. Lineage: Eukaryota; Perkinsozoa; Perkinsida; Perkinsidae. The record is from Rfam by way of RNAcentral.
GAUCCUGAAGAGCAAUGGUAGCUCAUCUUACUCCAGAUCAGAAAGUUGUCCGUUCGAAUCGGGCCGCGGUUG